UUUAUUUUUUAAGAAAAUGAUUAAGCUAGUUCGUAGUCAACUCAGCAACCGUUUCCCCGGCAACGGUGCCAAAAAGCUUGUUGACACUUGCUAACACCACUUGAAUACUAGGAUGUCAUCCCCAGCAUGGCACUAGAGUGUACUAUGGUAUUUAUACGCACACAGAUAAAUCCGCAAGCGCACGAAUACCGUUGUAGCUUUUACCCGGUUAAAGGUUUUUAUCAUAUCCACAAGGAAACGGGAGA
This 245-nucleotide long non-coding RNA is filed under the name Sorghum bicolor (sorghum). RNAcentral describes it as "long non-coding RNA (SBIC_LNC006978)". The record is from RNAcentral. Lineage: Eukaryota; Viridiplantae; Streptophyta; Magnoliopsida; Poales; Poaceae.